UCAGUACAUUGUUCCAAUAGUUAAAUAUAUAUUUCACUAAAGUUUAAAUACUAAAAAUGCAGGAGAGAAAAAGAUGGGUUUUAGCGCAAAUGUUGAGCACAAUUUUCAGGUUAAAACACAGUUUAGAGAAACAACUGCUUUCAAAUGAAAAGACAAGUUUUAGAUUUACUGUUGGAGACAUUACAUUGAUAAAAGAAUUAUGCGUUGAUAUUAAUGAAGAAAUAUUUUUUUCAAAUCUGCUAUAUCUUUACAAAAUAAGGAAUCCUAAUCAAAAUUUU
Eurytemora carolleeae is the source of this 278-nucleotide long non-coding RNA. RefSeq lists it as uncharacterized. The record is from RefSeq and is a predicted model, not a curated record. The transcript has 4 exons. NCBI's taxonomy places the organism in Eukaryota, Metazoa, Arthropoda, Copepoda, Calanoida, Temoridae.